RNAcentral lists this ribosomal RNA (404 nucleotides) under uncultured prokaryote. Its description in RNAcentral is "bacterial SSU rRNA". It matches the Rfam family "Bacterial small subunit ribosomal RNA", at positions 355 to 774 of the family's 1533-position model. The record is from RNAcentral.
UGGGGAAUCUUGCACAAUGGGCGAAAGCCUGAUGCAGCAACGCCGCGUGAGCGAUGAAGGCCUUUGGGUCGUAAAGCUCUGUCCUUGGGGAAGAAAAAAAUGACGGUACCCAAGGAGGAAGCCCCGGCUAACUACGUGCCAGCAGCCGCGGUAAUACGUAGGGGGCAAGCGUUAUCCGGAAUUAUUGGGCGUAAAGAGUACGUAGGUGGUCUUUUAAGCGCAGGGUUUAAGGCAAUGGCUCAACCAUUGUUCGCCCUGUGAACUGGAAGACUUGAGUGCAGGAGAGGAAAGCGGAAUUCCUAGUGUAGCGGUGAAAUGCGUAGAUAUUAGGAGGAACACCAGUGGCGAAGGCGGCUUUCUGGACUGUAACUGACACUGAGGUACGAAAGCGUGGGGAGCAAACA